GACGAACGCUGGCGGCGUGCCUAACACAUGCAAGUCGAACGGAAAACAUAGCAAUAUGUUUUUAGUGGCGAACGGGUGAGUAACGCGUAGACAACCAACCUUUUUGUGGGGGACAACACUUCGAAAGGAGUGCUAAUACCGCAUACGCUCCAGAUGCCGCCUGGCAUUUGGAGGAAAGGAGCUGUAAGGCUUCGCAAAAAGACGGGUCUGCGUCUGAUUAGCUAGUUGGAGGGGUAACGGCCCACCAAGGCGACGAUCAGUAGCCGGUCUGAGAGGAUGGACGGCCACACUGGGACUGAGACACGGCCAGACUCCUACGGGAGGCAGCAGUGGGGAAUCUUCCGCAAUGGACGAAAGUCUGACGGAGCGACGCCGCGUGAGUGAUGAAGGCCCUUGGGUCGUAAAGCUCUGUCAUCAGGGACGAACGGUCACGUCAGGAAAUGGGCGUGAAUUGACGGUACCUGAGAAGGAAGCCACGGCUAACUACGUGCCAGCCGCCGCCGUA
RNAcentral lists this ribosomal RNA (505 nucleotides) under uncultured bacterium. RNAcentral's name for it is "partial 16S ribosomal RNA". It matches the Rfam family "Bacterial small subunit ribosomal RNA", at positions 28 to 522 of the family's 1533-position model. The record is from RNAcentral.